This 64-nucleotide transfer RNA is filed under the name Ducetia japonica. Its description in RNAcentral is "tRNA-His". Lineage: Eukaryota; Metazoa; Arthropoda; Insecta; Orthoptera; Tettigoniidae. The record is from RNAcentral.
AUUUGAGUAGUUUAUAAAAAAAUAUUGAUUUGUGGUGUCAAUGAAGUAGAUUAUACCUCAGAUC